CCUACGGGAGGCAGCAGUGGGGAAUAUUGGACAAUGGGGGCAACCCUGAUCCAGCCAUGCCGCGUGUGUGAAGAAGGCCCUCGGGUUGUAAAGCACUUUCAGUGAGGAAGAACGCCUGGUGGUUAAUACCCAUCAGGAAAGACAUCACUCACAGAAGAAGCACCGGCUAACUCCGUGCCAGCAGCCGCGGUAAUACGGAGGGUGCGAGCGUUAAUCGGAAUUACUGGGCGUAAAGCGCGCGUAGGUGGCUUGAUAAGCCGGUUGUGAAAGCCCCGGGCUCAACCUGGGAACGGCAUCCGGAACUGUCAAGCUAGAGUGCAGGAGAGGAAGGUAGAAUUCCCGGUGUAGCGGUGAAAUGCGUAGAGAGCGGGAGGAAUACCAGUGGCGAAGGCGGCCUUCUGGACUGACACUGACACUGAGGUGCGAAAGCGUGGGUAGCAAACAGGAUUAGAUACCCGAGUAGUC
RNAcentral lists this ribosomal RNA (465 nucleotides) under Vreelandella stevensii. RNAcentral describes it as "partial 16S ribosomal RNA". It matches the Rfam family "Bacterial small subunit ribosomal RNA", at positions 338 to 795 of the family's 1533-position model. Lineage: Bacteria; Pseudomonadati; Pseudomonadota; Gammaproteobacteria; Oceanospirillales; Halomonadaceae. The record is from RNAcentral.